This 440-nucleotide ribosomal RNA is filed under the name uncultured bacterium. RNAcentral describes it as "bacterial SSU rRNA". It matches the Rfam family "Bacterial small subunit ribosomal RNA", at positions 29 to 507 of the family's 1533-position model. The record is from RNAcentral.
AGCGAACGCUGGCGGCAUGCUUAACACAUGCAAGUCGCACGGGCGGGGGCAACUCCGUCAGUGGCGGACGGGUGAGUAACGCGUAGGAAUCUAUCCUUGAAUGGGGGACAACCGUGGGAAACUACGGCUAAUACCGCAUGAUGCCUGAGGGCCAAAGACGAAAGUCGUUUGAGGAGGAGCCUGCGUCUGAUUAGGUAGUUGGUGGGGUAAAGGCCUACCAAGCCCUACGAUCAGUAGCUGGUCUGAGAGGAUGAUCAGCCACAUUGGGACUGAGACACGGCCCAAACUCCUGCGGGAGGCAGCAGUGGGGAAUAUUGGACAAUGGGCGCAAGCCUGAUCCAGCAAUGCCGCGUGGGUGAAGAAGGUCUUCGGAUUGUAAAGCCCUUUUGGCGGGGACGAUGAUGACGGUACCCGCAGAAUAAGCUCCGGCUAACUUCGUG